This 403-nucleotide ribosomal RNA is filed under the name uncultured Acaulospora. RNAcentral describes it as "SSU rRNA". It matches the Rfam family "Eukaryotic small subunit ribosomal RNA", at positions 569 to 970 of the family's 1831-position model. Lineage: Eukaryota; Fungi; Glomeromycota; Glomeromycetes; Diversisporales; Acaulosporaceae. The record is from RNAcentral.
AGCAGCCGCGGUAAUUCCAGCUCCAAUAGCGUAUAUUAAAGUUGUUGCAGUUAAAAAGCUCGUAGUUGAAUUUCGGAAUCUGUCUAUCGGUCGGGCUUCACUGUCCGUACUGGUGUGGUGGGUUCUUACCUUCUGAAUAACCAGCAUGCCAUUCACUUGGUGCGUUGGGGAAGCAGGACUAUUUAUUACCUUGAAAAAUUAGAGUGCUCAAAGCAGGCUAGUGCCUGAAUACAUUAGCAUGGAAUAAUAAAAUAGGACGGCAUGGUUCUAUUUUGUUGGUUUCUAGGAUCACCGUAAUGAUUAAUAGGGAUAGUUGGAGGCAUUAGUGUUCAAUUGUCAGAGGUGAAAUUCUUGGAUUUUAUUGAAGACUAACUUCUACGAAAGCAUUUGCCAAGGAUGUUUU